This is a long non-coding RNA of Rosa chinensis, 227 nucleotides long. RefSeq lists it as uncharacterized. The record is from RefSeq and is a predicted model, not a curated record. NCBI's taxonomy places the organism in Eukaryota, Viridiplantae, Streptophyta, Magnoliopsida, Rosales, Rosaceae. The transcript has 3 exons.
UUCUUUCACAGAAGAGCAAUUGAUUCCCUUUCUUCAAAACAACUGAAAUCUAGGGAAAUGCUUGAAUAUUUUUACAUAGCUGUUUAUUCUCACUGAAUUCAGAAGAAGAGGCAGAGAAUAGAAAGAAGCACAAUCUGAUACAGUGCUUGACAGUCAAUCUAUUAGUGGCAGAGGGGCUCAAAUGCCUGGGGGUCGAAUGUUCAGUCUUUUCGGUAAUCAUAAUUUGA